UGCAAGUCGUACCAGUAGCGGCGCGAGGGAGAUUACUUUCUCUGCUGACGAGUGGCGGAAGGGUGAGUAAAGCUUGGGAAUCUGGCGAAUGGAGGGGGAUAGCCACGGGAAACUGUGGGUAAUACCGCGUAAUGUCUAAGGACUAAAGGGGUGGGACUGAGAGGCCACCUGCCAUUUGAUGAGCCCAAGUGGGAUUAGGUAGUUGGUGAGGUAAGGGCUCACCAAGCUGACGAUCUCUAGCUGGUCUGAGAGGAUGGCCAGCCACACUGGAACUGAGACACGGUCCAGACUCCUACGGGAGGCAGCAGUGGGGAAUAUUGCGCAAUGGGGGGAACCCUGACGCAGCCAUGCCGCGUGAAUGAAGAAGGCCUUCGGGUUGUAAAGUUCUUUCGGUGAUGAGGAAGGCGAUUAGUUUAAGAGAUUAAUUGAUUGACGAUAAUCACAGAAGAAGCACCGGCUAACUCCGUGCCAGCAGCCGCGGUAAUACGGAGGGUGCGAGCGUUAAUCGGAAUGACUGGGCGUAAAGGGCACGCAGGUGGUGACUUAAGUGAGGUGUGAAAUCCCCGGGCUUAACCUGGGAACAGCAUUUCAGACUGGGUGACUAGAGUACUUUAGGGAGGGGUAGAAUUCCACGUGUAGCGGUGAAAUGCGUAGAGAUGUGGAGGAAUACCGAAGGCGAAGGCAGCCCCUUGGGAAGAUACUGACGCUCGAGUGCGAAAGCGUGGGGAGCAAACAGGAUUAGAUACCCUGGUAGUCCACGCUGUAAACGAUGUCGAUUUGGGGAUUGGGGUGAAUACUUGGUGCCCGAAGCUAACGUGAUAAAUCGACCGCCCUGGGGGAGUACGGCCGCAAAGGUUAAAACUCAAAUGAAUUGACGGGGGGCCCGCACAAG
This 892-nucleotide ribosomal RNA is filed under the name Histophilus somni. RNAcentral describes it as "bacterial SSU rRNA". It matches the Rfam family "Bacterial small subunit ribosomal RNA", at positions 56 to 929 of the family's 1533-position model. The record is from RNAcentral. Lineage: Bacteria; Pseudomonadati; Pseudomonadota; Gammaproteobacteria; Pasteurellales; Pasteurellaceae.